CGUUUAAAGCACAAUUUUAAAUAGAGUCUGCUCCCUGAGUGUAUUUAAAGAGCCGCAGUAUCCUAACUGUGCAAAGGUAGCAAAAUAACUUGUCUCCUAAUUAGAGACUGGAAUGAAUGACCUGACGAGGAAAUAUCUGUCUCCAUUAUAAAAAAAAAAUUGACAUGUAAGUCAAAAGGCUUAUAUAAAUCAGCAAGACGACAAGACCCUAUAAAACUUUACCUUUUUAAAUCAACUAUCAUAGAAUUAUCCAAAUAAAGGGUUUAACUGGGGCGGUAUUUAUAUAAUAUAUAACUAUACUAACCUAAACAUAUAUAAAUGAAAUAAUAAACCUUAAUUAAAAUAUAAAAACAAGUUACUUUAGGGAUAACAGCAUAAUAUUCUUUGAGAGCUCUUAUCGACAAGAAAUGAUUAUGACCUCGAUGUUGAAUUGGGAAACCUUUCAAGAGCAGNAACUUGGAAAGAAAGUCUGUUCGACUUUUAAACUCCC
RNAcentral lists this ribosomal RNA (490 nucleotides) under Eophreatoicus kudjamarndi. RNAcentral describes it as "partial large subunit ribosomal RNA". It matches the Rfam family "Bacterial large subunit ribosomal RNA", at positions 1823 to 2597 of the family's 2925-position model. Lineage: Eukaryota; Metazoa; Arthropoda; Malacostraca; Isopoda; Amphisopidae. The record is from RNAcentral.